This 3675-nucleotide ribosomal RNA is filed under the name Triticum aestivum (bread wheat). RNAcentral's name for it is "partial small subunit ribosomal RNA". The record is from RNAcentral. Lineage: Eukaryota; Viridiplantae; Streptophyta; Magnoliopsida; Poales; Poaceae.
CCACCCAGAUCCGAACCCUACCCAACCCCCGCCCCAGAUCCGGCCGCCGGCCGCCGCCGGCGAUGGCGUGCCUCGCGAUCUCCCUGCAGCCGGUGAACGGCCCGGACAUCCUGCUCCAGACGCGCUCCUGGUUCCCGGUCUCGCGCGCCCUCGCCGCCGUCUCCGCCUUCCGCCUCGCGCGCCUCAGCCUCGCCCGCGGCAAGCAGCCGCACGCCUCCCCCUCCUCCUCCGCCUCCCUCGACGCCAUCGGCGACGACCCGCUCGCCACCGGGUCGGGGCAGCUGGUGGUGGGCGUCGAGUCGCAGUACCGCGUGGUGUACCGCCUCGUCAACUCCAUCUACGUGCUCGGCGUCACCACCGCCUCCGACCACGCCGCCCCCGCCGUCCACGCCUUCGCCGUCGCCGACGCCGUCAACCAGGCCGUCUCCGUCCUCGUCGCCGCCUGCCGCGGCGUCGACGCCACCCCCGACAAGGUCCACCGCAAGUACCCCGAGGUCUACCUCGCGCUCGACCUCGUCCUCCACGGCGUCGGCUCCGUCCGCCUCUCCCAGAUCCUCGCCACCAUCCAUGGCGACAACCUCGCCCGCAUGGUCAACUCCUCCCCCGACGCCGAGGCCCGCGCCCGCGGCGCCGACUCCUGGCCCGUCGUCGAGCACCUCGCGCAGGACCGCCACGCCGCCCGCGACGGCUUCGCCGGCGCCUCCUUCGAGCUCCCCCAGGAGACCCUCUCUGCCGGCGACGAGUUCUCUGCUUCCAGCCUCGCGCCUGCGGCUGCCGCAGCUACUGGGGAUGAGCCGCCGCCUGAGGAGGCGCCCCCCAUUGAGAAGGACCCCUUUGCGGCUAGCGACAUGGUUGCUAGCAAGCCAGAGGAGGCGUUGGUCGGUGCGUUCAAGAAGAACAAGGAGACCGCCCUUGUGGUUGCUGAUCCUGCUGCUGCGCUUGCUGGGUUGGAGGUCACCACUCUGCCGCCAGCCGAGGCGACUAAACCAACGUUUAUUGGGGUUGAGGGAUUUGAGGGUGACUACGGUGGAAUCGAGUUUGGCAAUGAGGAAGCUUCACUGGCUGAGGCAUUUGAGGGGUUCAAUGCGCCAUUUGGGGGUGGGCUAGAUGCUUCUGAGUUUGUUACCACAACCAAGAAGGAUCACAAGGACAAGACCCUCACUGGUCUUGAGAUUCUAGCCAUGAGUGGUGGGCAGGCACCGAAUGCAGCUUCUUCUGGUUCGCAACUCGACAGCUUGGUAACCCCGAGCAAAGACAUGACCGUGCCUGAGUUGUGCAUCGUGGAGGAGAUCAAUGCUGAAUUCAAGGAGUCUGUUCUUGCACGGGUUGGUCUGAAGGGUACAAUCAUUUUGCGGACGUUACCACCAAAGAAGGCAGCAGGGAGGGAGACAGAGUUCUCAUUCCGGCUUGAGGGUACUUCUGGAAUGAAGAGGGCCGCCUUGCAGAGUACCGUGUUGAGCAGCCUCGAGAAUGGCCUGUUCCAUGUGAAGACACCAUCGAAGGAGGAGCCUAUCCCCAUCAUGAAAUACAGCUUCCUGCCCAAGCACUCACCUCUCCCCCUGAGGUUGCGCCUUGUAAAGCGCCACAGUGGCACAUUGCUCUCACUGAUGAUACACUAUGCGUCGAACCCGAUGUUGCCACAGCCACUGAGCAAUGUUACAUUCAUUGUUAAGCUUCCUGUGGAUCCAACUCUGCUUAAUGUUUCGCCCAAGGCUGUGUUGAACCGGGCAGAGAGGGAGCUCAGGUGGCACAUCUCAGACAUUCCUCUGAAAGGUCCUGCUGGCCGGUUGAGAGCACGGAUGCCUGUAGAUCAAGACUCCAAAGAUGGUGAACUAGAGGUUGUUGGAAUGGUCAAGUUUGCUUACCAAGGGCCAUUCACUUUGUCUGGCAUCAAACUCUGCCCAGCCAUCAAUAGCACUGCCCAAUUUAAUGAAGUUGGCCACACUUUCUCCAGCGGGAGCUACCGUUGCAUCUGAGUUGGUACCUUCUUUGUACUGUAGCUGUUUACUUUACCCCUUAUUCAGUUUGCUUCUACAACAGGGUGUGAAUUUCAUAUUUGUACGUAUAUGUUUUGUGAGGCUGGAAUUUAAACCAUGUUUUUGAGUUGUGAUUAUUCAUCAAGGCUACACAAUCUUUUGCAAGUUUCAUAGUACUCCUGUUCAUUAUGGAUGCAAACAAAAAACAAUACUUCUGCUACUGACCUUUAGUAAUUCAUUCAUUAUUGCAAACCGUCAUUACCUUUUCUGUCUAGUUUUUUAGAAUAAGGGAGGAGAGGAUUUCCCCUGUCCUCUACACAAUCUUUUGCAAGUUGGCAUUGAAAAUGAUUUGUUUGCUUUCAAGUUGAAACUUGCAAAUUUGGUGACGAGAUGUUUAAUGUAUAUCCUGUUUCUCAUUACCUUCCAACUGUACAAUACAUAUUUGGUUUUUUACUUCCUGUUGUAGGUGAACUGAAUUAUUCACGGAGAAUCUGGUUAUGGUAUUUUAUUAUACAGAUUCAAACAUAGUUUCUGUUCUUUAACCAAAAGAGUGCUGGAGUAAUUGCUCGCAGGUUGUCCUAUAUGGAUAGCACAUUUCCGUAAGAAAUUAGACAUCCACAUUUAUGCUCAAGUCAAGCACACACUUUAUUUCUGGCACCACGGUAAUCAGGAUGGUUGAACUCGACUCCAUUUUUCGCUCAUGGGGAUCUCCAAGGGUAUGAAUCUGACAAAUCCCCUGUCUUUGGGUAGUGGUUUUGCCCCUGGGUUCAAAAAGCAUGAAAGGGGAAAAUACUUAUAGCUGCAAGGGGAAGAGAUCAAUCUAUACAAAAACAUUCCUUUUCAAAAAUUUAGUUCAUCAAUUCUGUAUUGUAUCAGUAUGAUGCCUGCUUUUCUAGCUUCCCUUGCAUGAUUGACACUAAGCAAUGGUGAUGUGCUUAUCUUAUGGUAUGUUGAAAAUAAAAUUUACCAAUUCAGUGGUGCCAACACUAAUAUCCCUCCGUCCCAUAUUAGUUGUCGCUCAAAUGGAUGUAUCUAGACGUAUUUCAGUGCUAGAUACAUCCAUUUUACUCUUAAUUUUUUUCCUGUAAUGUUUGUAGAAAAAUACCGAUAGGGAUGCUAACUAUAACAUCAGUCUAGGGCAAAUAAAUCAUCUCUCGAAGGCAUUCUUUACCUUCACUUUGGCCGUAGUAAGCAGUAUACAUAUCUGUAGAUAGAUUGUAUUUUGUUCCUUCCAUGGUUUGUAUUUAUGUAUACAGUACAGUGAAUUGAAACUUUGCUGUAUUCUUUCAGCUUACACUAAUUGUGUAGCCUUAUGUUAUACUCCGUCAAUCCGGAAAUAUGUGUCGCUGACUGAAUACAGCUUUGUACUAAAGUUGUACUGAAUCUGCGACGGUUAUUUUGGGACGGAGGGAGUAUCUGUCAAGUGUCAUUUCCCCGCACUUUUUUGUGUUGCCGGAGAGUAACUGCAUUGUCAAUGAUAUUAUUGUACUGAUGGUAGUGUCAAAACUCAGAAGGUAGUGUAUUCCAGCAAGUUAUGAAUCAACUGAAUGGGUAGAUGACAAGAUUUUUACCAUCAUCAUCCUCAGGAGGGCAUUUGAUGCUAUAGAGUUACAGAUAGUAGAUGCUUUUGGAUUUAAGAGCCUUUUGAUGCUUUGGAAGUGGAGCUUUUGCACCUGGGCUCAAAUGCUCCUGGUGUGAA